GACGUAGGUCCCGAGCGUUGCCCGGAUUUACUGGGCGUAAAGUGCGCGUAGGCGGUUCGGCAAGUCGCCUGUGAAAGUCCGGGGCUCAACCCCGGGGUGCCGGGCGAAACUGCCGGGCUAGAGGACGGCAGAGGAGGGUGGAGCGGCCGGAGUAGCGGUGAAAUGCGUAGAUACCGGCCGAAAUCCCGAUGGCGAAGGCAACCCUCUGGGCCGUUCCUGACGCUGAGGCGCGAAAGCUAGGGGAGCGAACGGG
Molecule: ribosomal RNA, 253 nt
Filed under: uncultured bacterium
Lineage: Bacteria
Description: partial 16S ribosomal RNA
Rfam family: Bacterial small subunit ribosomal RNA
Source: RNAcentral